Molecule: non-coding RNA, 663 nt
Organism: Chlorocebus sabaeus (green monkey)
Lineage: Eukaryota; Metazoa; Chordata; Mammalia; Primates; Cercopithecidae
Source: RefSeq, a predicted model, not a curated record
CAACACAUGGGAAUUAUCGGAGUACAAUUCAAGAUGAGAUUACGGUGGAGACACAGAGUCAAACCAUAUCAGAUAUUAUGUCAGUUAUUGCAGAUCACAGAAAUAACCAAAUUCCAUGUCAAUUGUGUCUUUAUGCCUGUUUAAAGUCAUUUCCACAGUUAAUUGCUUAAUUCUGAUGCAGCUUCUGAAAACUUCGCAAGCACUCAAAAUCCUAGAAUAUAAUAUCUUUUAGGAAGUUUAUGAAAGGAUGGAAAGGACCCUGAAAAGCACUCUUGAAUACAGGUAAAGAAAGCAUUUCAUGGUUCACUUACUGAGGACCAUCAACCCCUUCAUAAUUUAGAACCUGAAGAUCAGAUCUUCUGAGAACAUCAGAGAAAGACUGCCCUUGGCAUCCACACUGCAGCAAAACUUCAGGACGUUGAAUCUUGGGCUCAUAGUUUCACAACUGAGAAGGGUUCAUCCACACUCUUGGAACUACAUCCAUUGGAACCCUUAAGGUAAAGCUAACCAGGGAAGUUUCUCCCCAGAAGAAGAUUGCAUCCUUGAUAUGAACAGCUUUAUCCCAAGAUCAUGGAUCAAGACUUCUCUACUAUCAUGAGACUCUUAUCUUUGAAUAUUUUUCUCUUGCUUAUGCCUCUGUGAACAAUAGAAGUGAAAAGGGGG